Molecule: ribosomal RNA, 253 nt
Filed under: uncultured bacterium
Lineage: Bacteria
Description: partial 16S ribosomal RNA
Rfam family: Bacterial small subunit ribosomal RNA
Source: RNAcentral
UACGUAGGGCGCGAGCGUUGUCCGGAAUUAUUGGGCGUAAAGAGCUCGUAGGCGGCCUGUUGCGUCCGCUGUGAAAUCCCAGGGCUUAACCCUGGGCGUGCAGUGGAUACGGGCAGGCUGGAGGCAGGCAGGGGAGAACGGAAUUCCCGGUGUAGCGGUGAAAUGCGCAGAUAUCGGGAGGAACACCGGUGGCGAAGGCGGUUCUCUGGGCCUUACCUGACGCUGAGGCGCGAAAGCUAGGGGAGCGAACAGG